GACGGGGGAUGCAAGCGUUAUCCGGAAUGAUUGGGCGUAAAGGGUCCGCAGGUGGCCCGGUCAGUCCGCUGUCAAAGCCUGGGGCUCAACCCUGGAGAGGCGGCGGAGACCACCGGGCUUGAGUCCGGUAGGGGCAGAGGGAAUUCCCGGUGUAGCAGUGAAAUGCGUAGAGAUCGGGAGGAACAUCUGUGGCGAAGGCGGCCAUCUGGACCAGCACUGACGCUGAGGAGCGAAAGCGUGGGGAGCGAACAGG
Molecule: ribosomal RNA, 253 nt
Filed under: uncultured bacterium
Lineage: Bacteria
Description: partial 16S ribosomal RNA
Rfam family: Bacterial small subunit ribosomal RNA
Source: RNAcentral